Molecule: ribosomal RNA, 447 nt
Filed under: uncultured bacterium
Lineage: Bacteria
Description: partial 16S ribosomal RNA
Rfam family: Bacterial small subunit ribosomal RNA
Source: RNAcentral
CGCCAGACUCCUACGGGAGGCAGCAGUGGGGGAUAUUGCACAAUGGGGGGAACCCUGAUGCAGCGACGCCGCGUGGGUGAAGGAGCGUUUCGGCGCGUAAAGCCCUAUCGGCAGGGAAGAAGGAGGACGGUACCUGACUAAGAAGCCCCGGCUAACUACGUGCCAGCAGCCGCGGUAAUACGUAGGGGGCAAGCGUUAUCCGGAUUUACUGGGUGUAAAGGGAGCGUAGACGGCAGUGCAAGUCCGGAGUGAAAGCCCGGGGCUCAACCCUGGGACUGCUCUGGAAACUGUAAAGCUGGAGUAUGGGAGGGGUAAGCGGAAUUCCUGGUGUAGCGGUGAAAUGCGUAGAUAUCAGGAGGAACACCGGUGGCGAAGGCGGCUUACUGGACCGAAACUGACGUUGAGGCUCGAAAGCGUGGGGAGCAAACAGGAUUAGAUACCCGUGUA